GGGUUGUGAGGUUAAGCGACUAAGCGUACACGGUGGAUGCCCAGGCAGUCAGAGGCGAUGAAGGACGUGCUAAUCUGCGUAAAGCGACGGUAAGGUGAUAUGAACCGCUACAGCCGUCGAUGUCCGAAUGGGGAAACCCGGUGCACUCUGUGCAUCAUUGCAGCAUGAAUACAUAGUGCUGCAAGGCGAACCGGGGGAACUGAAACAUCUAAGUACCCCGAGGAAAAGAAAUCAACCGAGAUUCCCCCAGUAGCGGCGAGCGAACGGGGAGCAGCCCAGAGCCUGAAUCAGCUUGUGUGUUAGUGGAAGCGUCUGGAAAGUCGCAGGGUACAGGGUGAUACUCCCGUACACAAAAACACACAUGCUGUGAGCUCGAUGAGUAAGGCGGGACACGUGGUAUCCUGUCUGAAUAUGGGGGGACCAUCCUCCAAGGCUAAAUACUCCUGACUGACCGAUAGUGAACCAGUACCGUGAGGGAAAGGCGAAAAGAACCCCGGCGAGGGGAGUGAAACAGAACCUGAAACCGUGUACGUACAAGCAGUGGGAGCCUUCUUUAUGGGGGUGACUGCGUACCUUUUGUAUAAUGGGUCAGCGACUUAUAUUCUGUAGCAAGGUUAACCGUAUAGGGGAGCCGCAGGGAAACCGAGUCUUAACUGGGCGUUAAGUUGCAGGGUAUAGACCCGAAACCCGGUGAUCUAGCCAUGGGCAGGUUGAAGGUUGGGUAACACUAACUGGAGGACCGAACCGACUAAUGUUGAAAAAUUAGCGGAUGACCUGUGGCUGGGGGUGAAAGGCCAAUCAAACCGGGAGAUAGCUGGUUCUCCCCGAAAGCUAUUUAGGUAGCGCCUCGUGAACUCAUCUUCGGGGGUAGAGCACUGUUUCGGCUAGGGGGCCAUCCCGGCUUACCAACCCGAUGCAAACUGCGAAUACCGAAGAAUGUUAUCACGGGAGACACACGGCGGGUGCUAACGUCCGUCGUGAAGAGGGAAACAACCCAGACCGCCAGCUAAGGUCCCAAAGUCAUGGUUAAGUGGGAAACGAUGUGGGAAGGCACAGACAGCCAGGAUGUUGGCUUAGAAGCAGCCAUCAUUUAAAGAAAGCGUAAUAGCUCACUGGUCGAGUCGGCCUGCGCGGAAGAUGUAACGGGGCUAAACCAUGCACCGAAGCUGCGGCAGCGACACUAUGUGUUGUUGGGUAGGGGAGCGUUCUGUAAGCCGUCGAAGGUGUGCUGUGAGGCAUGCUGGAGGUAUCAGAAGUGCGAAUGCUGACAUAAGUAACGAUAAAGCGGGUGAAAAGCCCGCUCGCCGGAAGACCAAGGGUUCCUGUUCAACGUUAAUCGGAGCAGGGUGAGUCGACCCCUAAGGCGAGGCCGAAAGGCGUAGUCGAUGGGAAACAGGUUAAUAUUCCUGUACUCGGUGUUACUGCGAAGGGGGGACGGAGAAGGCUAUAUCAGCCGGGCGACGGUUGUCCCGGUUUAAGCGUGUAGGCGGAGGGUCCAGGUAAAUCCGGUCCCUUAUUAACGCUGAGGCGUGACGACGAGGCACUACGGUGCUGAAGUGAUAAAUGCCCAGCUUCCAGGAAAAGCCUCUAAGCAUCAGGUAACACAGAAUCGUACCCCAAACCGACACAGGUGGUCAGGUAGAGAAUACCAAGGCGCUUGAGAGAACUCGGGUGAAGGAACUAGGCAAAAUGGUGCCGUAACUUCGGGAGAAGGCACGCUGGCGCGUAGGUGGAGGGACCUGCUCCCCGAGCCGAAGCCAGUCGAAGAUACCAGCUGGCUGCAACUGUUUAUUAAAAACACAGCACUGUGCAAACACGAAAGUGGACGUAUACGGUGUGACGCCUGCCCGGUGCCGGAAGGUUAAUUGAUGGGGUUAUCCGCAAGGAGAAGCUCUUGAUCGAAGCCCCGGUAAACGGCGGCCGUAACUAUAACGGUCCUAAGGUAGCGAAAUUCCUUGUCGGGUAAGUUCCGACCUGCACGAAUGGCGUAAUGAUGGCCAGGCUGUCUCCACCCGAGACUCAGUGAAAUUGAACUCGCUGUGAAGAUGCAGUGUACCCGCGGCAAGACGGAAAGACCCCGUGAACCUUUACUACAGCUUGACACUGAACAUUGAGCCUUGAUGUGUAGGAUAGGUGGGAGGCUUUGAAGCGCGGACGCCAGUCUGCGUGGAGCCAACCUUGAAAUACCACCCUUUAAUGUUUGAUGUUCUAACGUAGGCCCGUAAUCCGGGCUGCGGACAGUGUCUGGUGGGUAGUUUGACUGGGGCGGUCUCCUCCUAAAGAGUAACGGAGGAGCACGAAGGUCAGCUAAUCACGGUCGGACAUCGUGAGGUUAGUGCAAUGGCAUAAGCUGGCUUGACUGCGAGAGUGACGGCUCGAGCAGGUGCGAAAGCAGGUCAUAGUGAUCCGGUGGUUCUGAAUGGAAGGGCCAUCGCUCAACGGAUAAAAGGUACUCCGGGGAUAACAGGCUGAUACCGCCCAAGAGUUCAUAUCGACGGCGGUGUUUGGCACCUCGAUGUCGGCUCAUCACAUCCUGGGGCUGAAGUAGGUCCCAAGGGUACGGCUGUUCGCCGUUUAAAGUGGUACGCGAGCUGGGUUUAGAACGUCGUGAGACAGUUCGGUCCCUAUCUGCCGUGGGCGCUGGAGAAUUGAGGGGGGUUGCUCCUAGUACGAGAGGACCGGAGUGAACGCACCACUGGUGUUCGGGUUGUCAUGCCAAUGGCAUUGCCCGGUAGCUAAGUGCGGAAAAGAUAAGUGCUGAAAGCAUCUAAGCACGAAACUUGCCCCGAGAUGAGUUCUCCCUGACUCCUUGAGAGUCCUGAAGGGACGUUGAAGACUACGACGUUGAUAGGCCGGGUGUGUAAGCGCAGCGAUGCGUUGAGCUAACCGGUACUAAUGACCCGUGAGGCUUAACCUUACAACGCCAGAGGCGUUU
This 2935-nucleotide ribosomal RNA is filed under the name Pantoea agglomerans. RNAcentral describes it as "23S ribosomal RNA". It matches the Rfam family "Bacterial large subunit ribosomal RNA". The record is from RNAcentral. Lineage: Bacteria; Pseudomonadati; Pseudomonadota; Gammaproteobacteria; Enterobacterales; Erwiniaceae.